This 468-nucleotide ribosomal RNA is filed under the name uncultured bacterium. RNAcentral describes it as "partial 16S ribosomal RNA". It matches the Rfam family "Bacterial small subunit ribosomal RNA", at positions 28 to 507 of the family's 1533-position model. The record is from RNAcentral.
GACGAACGCUGGCGGCGUGCUUAACACAUGCAAGUCGAACGGAAAGGCCCUGCUUUUGUGGGGUGCUCGAGUGGCGAACGGGUGAGUAACACGUGAGUAACCUGCCCUUGACUUUGGGGUAACUUCAGGAAACUGGGGCUAAUACCGGAUAGGAGCUCCUGCUGCAUGGAGGGGGUUGGAAAGUUUCGGCGGUUGGGGAUGGACUCGCGGCUUAUCAGCUUGUUGGUGGGGUAGUGGCUUACCAAGGCUUUGACGGGUAGCCGGCCUGAGAGGGUGACCGGCCACAUUGGUACUGAGAUACGGCCCAGACUCCUACGGGAGGCAGCAGUGGGGAAUAUUGCACAAUGGGCGGAAGCCUGAUGCAGCAACGCCGCGUGCGUGAUGACGGCCUGCGGGUUGUAAACCGCUUUCGCCUGUGACGAAGCGUGAGUGACGGUAAUGGGUAAAGAAGCACCGGCUAACUACGUG